RNAcentral lists this long non-coding RNA (2270 nucleotides) under Homo sapiens (human). Its description in RNAcentral is "HSALNT0371496". Lineage: Eukaryota; Metazoa; Chordata; Mammalia; Primates; Hominidae. The record is from RNAcentral.
CAACAAUGGGUCAGCGACGGACAACACAGUGCAGACUGAGGGGUCAGGGCACGCUUCAUGGAAGAGUGCCAGGCGAGGUGUCCGGCGAGGUGUCACAGCCCUGGCAGUAGAGAGUGGUUCGCUCAUGGGUAGCAAGAAGAAUUUACCAACAACAGCAUAGGCUUGAAAUGGAAUAUCGUAUUAGAUGGAAAGAAACGCUGCAGCCGAGUGCAGAGGGGCAUCUCAGCAAGAGAGGACUAAGUGCACUGCGGUGGAUUGUCCUUCGUGUCUCUCUUCUUAGAGGCAGACUCACUUGGCCUGAGCUUGUCCUUGUGAAAUGGCCUGAGGUUCCCUGGACACUUGUGCAGCGGCAUGGUCCUUCUUCAUGCCCUUCCUUCCAUAAGUCACUCUCGAGCCAGACAGCGAGCCAGACAGUGGGUUUAAACCUGAGCUGCACCUCAUGCUGGCUGGGUUUCCUUUGUGCUGAACACAUCUGCCUUCCCAGUAGACACUGACCGAGCCUCUGAAGAACAAGUUUUUCCCUUCUUGUGUCCCAGGCUUGCUGAAGGGCGUGGCAUUUAAAUGUCUGUAUUUACUUGAAUCGCACAUUAUUGAAUCGGAUAAAACUGAAAGAUUUUCAGGAGAAGACAAUGUCUAACUAUUGACAGACAAACUUGUACGUCUACUUGCAACUACCCACACCUGGGAGCUCGUUAAGAGCACCAAACCUUGGGUUCCAUCCCAAAACUACUGGAUCAAAAUCUGCAUAUUUAACAAGAUCUCCAGGGCCUGACUCUAGAACUUCCAAUCAGAAUCUUUGAGAUGGUCCAGAAACGCACGUUUUUAAUGAGUUCUCCUCCAUGUAAAGUUCACAUCAGUGCUGAAGAGAUUCUGCAGCCAUAAAGGUGGAUGUUUCCAUGAGUGUUUGGGACACCAACUCAUCCUCAUUAGACAUUAGAUCCAUGCUGGGAAUCCUCAGGUCAGCAAUUUGAACCAGCCCCAGAUCCACCGAAGCUGCAGUCGGAAGAACAAGACACAGAGAAGGAGUGGCAAGAACAAGAAAGCUUCCGAGAGUGCAAGCGUUUUUUUUUUCUUUAUCGGAUUCGACGCUCUGGAGAAAAUUAAACAGGAUUGCACUUUCUAUCGAAUAAAGUACACUCAUUCUUCAGAAUCAUAGAUUGUGAAUCUAACAAUCUUGCUGAGAAUGGAUACUCUGACUUCCAGAGACUUGAUGACUUUGUUUCCUCUCUUCUCCCGUAAUUUUACGUGUGAUAAGUGGAUGUUGGCAGCUUCUCCAAAUAAGGCAUGAAUCAAGAAUGUACUCUCAACGUGAAAUAGCAAGCCAAAGAUUGAUUAUAUCUACUUAAGUCUAUGAUAAAAAUGGACACCAGCUUGCCAAAUUAUUUCAGCUGCCAAGAACACCAACCACCAAAGUAUCAGGACAGAUGGAUUUCACCAAAGCCUUGAUAUAAUCUGAGGAAAAGAAACUCAGGGAAAAUGUGCUGAUCCAUCAUUUAAGGGGCAAAGGUAUCCUCCUGUACUGGUGUUUGUUGGUAAAUGUUGAAACCAAUUAUGUGUUAAUAAUCAUGUUUUAGUUUCUCUUUUAAGUUUCAUUUUCUAUGUACCACAUUGAAUAAUACUCAGAUGAAGUUAGAUUAUAAUUUCUUUUCAGCUCAAGAAAAGUAAGCAAAUGUAUAGUCAGGGCUAUUUUAACUGGAAAAAAAAAACCUACUACUGACAGUGUCUUACAAGAAAGAUGUUUAAUUUUUUAUGUUAUAAAAAAUGUGGAGGCACAUGUUUUAUGUAUGUCAGCAGUCAAAUGGUGACAGGACCUUGGAUAAACAUCUGGGUUCUCUAGGAUCCCACCUAAUGUUUGCAAGAAGAUUGUAAGUAUAUUCUCCUAUAGCAGCAUCUAAAGAAGAGAAGAUGGAGCUAAUUCUCAUAUCAGUAUUUUCUUAAAUGAAUAAUCUUAACCCAAAACACUGCUAGAUAAAUUCAUUUUGCUCCUCAUUGGCUGGAUUGGGUCAUAUGGUCACCUAUAGCUACAGAGAGGAUGAGAGAGUGAGUACCUGAAACAGUGAUUGGAAUAAACCUAACCAUGAUCUACUGCUAGAGAGGUGGCACUUAGACAGAGUGAUGAUGCCUAAACUUCUAGAAGUAGAGUUAUCUGGCUCCUCUAAGACCUAGACUAACUGUAGGUCAUUGAUAAGCCAAACAUCUGAUUAAGAAUCACAUUGGAAGACUUCUCAUCAUUUUUGUCUUUGUAAAUAAAGGACCCCUAUCUAACUUUA